RNAcentral lists this non-coding RNA (68 nucleotides) under Aeromonas salmonicida. Its description in RNAcentral is "int-alpA". It matches the Rfam family "int-alpA RNA". Rfam says of the family: Acidobacteria (1 example), Planctomycetes (1 example), Proteobacteria. Environment (Lake Washington) Lineage: Bacteria; Pseudomonadati; Pseudomonadota; Gammaproteobacteria; Aeromonadales; Aeromonadaceae. The record is from RNAcentral. RNAcentral also lists the same sequence under 1 other name.
GCUGAGCCUAUCUCGACAGAGAGAAAAGUUGGGAACCUUGCCCACUUGGCUCGGCAAUUUAUUCAAGG